RNAcentral lists this ribosomal RNA (1486 nucleotides) under bacterium N159G.616. Its description in RNAcentral is "16S ribosomal RNA". It matches the Rfam family "Bacterial small subunit ribosomal RNA". The record is from RNAcentral.
GUGCUUUACACAUGCAAGCUCGAACGGUGAAGCAGAAGCUUGCUCUGUGGAUCAGUGGCGAACGGGUGAGUAACACGUGAGCAAUCUGCCCCUGACUCUGGGAUAAGCGCUGGAAACGGCGUCUAAUACCGGAUACGAGCUGCGAAGGCAUCUUCAGCAGCUGGAAAGAAUUUCGGUCAGGGAUGAGCUCGCGGCCUAUCAGCUUGUUGGUGAGGUAACGGCUCACCAAGGCGUCGACGGGUAGCCGGCCUGAGAGGGUGACCGGCCACACUGGGACUGAGACACGGCCCAGACUCCUACGGGAGGCAGCAGUGGGGAAUAUUGCACAAUGGGGCGAAAGCCUGAUGCAGCAACCCCGCGUGAGGGACGACGGCCUUCGGGUUGUAAACCUCUUUUAGCAGGAAAGAAGCGAAAGUGACGGUACCUGCAGAAAAAGCGCCGGCUAAACUACGUGCCAGCAGCCGCGGUAAUACGUAGGGCGCAAGCGUUAUCCGGAAUUAUUGGGCGUAAAGAGCUCGUAGGCGGUCUGUCGCGUCUGCUGUGAAAACCCGAGGCUCAACCUCGGGCCUGCAGUGGGUACGGGCAGACUAGAGUGCGGUAGGGGAGAUUGGAAUUCCUGGGUGUAGCGGUGGAAUGCGCAAAUAUCAGGAGGAACACCGAUGGCGAAGGCAGAUCUCUGGGCCGUAACUGACGCUGAGGAGCGAAAGGGUGGGGAGCAAACAGGCUUAGAUACCCUGGUAGUCCACCCCGUAAACGUUGAGAACUAGUUGUGGGGUCCAUUCCACGGAUUCCGUGACGCAGCUAACGCAUUAAGUUCCCCGCCUGGGGAGUACGGCCGCAAGGCUAAAACUCAAAGGAAUUGACGGGGACCCGCACAAGCGGCGGAGCAUGCGGAUUAAUUCGAUGCAACGCGAAGAACCUUACCAAGGCUUGACAUAUACGAGAACGGGCCAGAAAUGGUCAACUCUUUGGACACUCGUAAACAGGUGGUGCAUGGUUGUCGUCAGCUCGUGUCGUGAGAUGUUGGGUUAAGUCCCGCAACGAGCGCAACCCUCGUUCUAUGUUGCCAGCACGUAAUGGUGGGAACUCAUGGGAUACUGCCGGGGUCAACUCGGAGGAAGGUGGGGAUGACGUCAAAUCAUCAUGCCCCUUAUGUCUUGGGCUUCACGCAUGCUACAAUGGCCGGUACAAAGGGCUGCAAUACCGCGAGGUGGAGCGAAUCCCAAAAAGCCGGUCCCAGUUCGGAUUGAGGUCUGCAACUCGACCUCAUGAAGUCGGAGUCGCUAGUAAUCGCAGAUCAGCAACGCUGCGGUGAAUACGUUCCCGGGUCUUGUACACACCGCCCGUCAAGUCAUGAAAGUCGGUAACACCUGAAGCCGGUGGCCCAACCCUUGUGGAGGGAGCCGUCGAAGGUGGGAUCGGUAAUUAGGACUAAGUCGUAACAAGGUAGCCGUACCGGAAGGUGCGGCUGGAUCAYAUCCUUUCU